UGUAAAGCUCGAGGCCUCUUGGAUGAUCAACCAACCAAGUUAUACGUGCCAACAAAUGGACGCCCCAGACUACAUCCUCCCCUCCCAUCAGCCUACCUGGGCAAUGUGACAUUUAUGGCUUCAUCAAUUUCUGUGUCUGGAAAUCUCCAAUCAGAACCAUUUAUGAACACCAUAGAGCGAAUUCAUGGAACAUUGAAAAGGGUGGACAAUGAAUAUCUAAGAUCAGCUCUUGACUACCUAGAAAAACUGCCAGAUGUAACUACUGCCAGGAGAGAAGCACACACUGCCCAGUGCCCAAAUCUAAGUAUCAUCAAUUGGAUGCGACUCCCUGUACAUGAUGCAAAUUUUGGGUGGGGUCGGCCCAUAUACAUGGGCCCGGCAAAUGUCGUCCAUGAAGGAAAAAUAUACCUACUGCCAAGUCCAACUGAUGAUGGGAGCCUGUCAUUGGUAGCAUGCCUAGAAACCUCUCAUAUGAAACCUUUUCAGAAGCAUCUUUACGAAGGCUUAAUGUCAUUUGACAAAAUAAGGGCUCGAUAUUAGUUGUUUGUUCUCUCUAUCAGUAUGCAACAUAUAAAGAUGUUUCUUUUUUUUUUUCGUGAACUAACUUUUUUUGUUUGAAUCCUAUUUAUUCGAAUUCGGUGCAUAGGGCAUAGGCUAUUAUAAGAACCGACUCUAGCUAUGUCAACAAAUAAGAAGAGUAGAAGAUUAAACUAAACCUAGAAUGAAGAUAGAGAUUAUAUUCUGGAUAAUCAUCAAGAAAGAGGCGAGUAGCUAAGCCUUAAUACGAAACUUCUAUCUUACCUGUGAAAUCAAAUUGCUGGAACAAGAAGAACAGUGGAUAUGAGUCUUGCAUUCUUGCUCUAGUCAUUUCGUAUCUACUUGAGCCUAAUUUUCUCACAUAGCAGCAGCAACUUUGGUCAUCUUAAGAUUGAUUGUAACUGCAUUUUAGACACUAUGAGUAAGUUUUGAGAACACUGUGAAAACUCAAUGCUCUGAAGGGAAAUUUGGAGAAUUUCCAAGAACAAGGAACUAAAACUCAGAGGUUUACCUGUCUAGCACGUGAUAUGGAGAAGAAGCAUAUUGACAACUUCCAUUUUCCAGGCUCUGCAAAGUUCCCACCCGACUCUUGCAUCUAUGGAAGUCCAAGGAAAACAAAAACUCCAAACAUGCCCUUAAGACAUCCAAAGAUAACUCUAUCAUGCGACUCAAGUCCAAGGAAAAACAGUCCCACAUUUCUAAUGGCAGCUUAUGACACAUACAAAAUACCCCACUAUCUAACACUCUCAACUGAUAAAUUAGAACAACAAAAAUGUUCAGACAGAAAUUGAUUAUGAGGUACUAAUCUCUGCCAUAUCCUCGUUGGUGGUACGCUUGGAGACAUCCCAUAUGAAACAGUUUGAGAAGUGUCUUUCUGAUUUCUUACUGCCAUUUGCAAAAAUAAAUGCUCGUUGUUAAUUUGUUUUCCCUAGUAUUAUGUAACUUUGAGAAGCUCCUUUAUAUGAUUUCUGUAUUAGUAUUAGCUUUAAUCAAAAAUAGCAGACUCCAACACUGCUACACACACAAGAUAUCUGCACUCAGAAUGUCUUUUUGAUUCUUUUUUGUUCAAAACAUAUACACUUACUAAGCAUAAACAGUGGAGUUUUUUACUGUUCCGUACAUUUUCGCUAGGUCACUACUUUUAACUGUUGAGGAAUCUGUACUGGAGUUAGAGUUCUUGAUGUUCUGUCAGAUGGGACAUCCACAUUUUACUUCAUCGACAGCUGGUGUGGAACAGUUUCCAGAAGCUUUUUUAUGAAGAGUUGAUGUCAAUUGACAAAAUAAAGGCUCGUUAUUAGUUGUUGUUCUCUCUAUCAACCUGGAACAUAAUUAAAUCUGUUUCUUUUGCUUCAAUCCUAGUUAAAGAAAUACACAAGUAGAAGCUCUGAUGUUAGUAAGGAAAACACAGGGAGAUAGCCCUAUACUCCUGUUUCUUUGUUCCUAUCUUGAGGAGGACAAGCAUUUGGGACAAUCAUCAGGGACGAUUCCAACCAAUUUUCCAUUAGAUCAUUAUAGGACAGAUUGGGACAAUUCCUCCUCCCUAACAUCAUUUUGCAUGAGAUGUUUUCUAGCUGGAAUAUCAACUUCUUUAAGCUUUGGGCAAAGAUAAGCUGUGUCUGUGUCAUUGAUGCAUCGCUGCUUAUUGAAUUUGACUUGGAAAAUUAAAGAGUCAAUAAUGGCUUCUAUGAUUAAGGUUUAAAAUGACAUGAUCAUGCCAUGCAUACAACCACCUACCUACUACAAAAGCAAGACGACAUACCAUUAAUCUAAUUAAUUUUGUAUUAAAUCCAAAAGCAGCCUGUUUAUGAGAAGAAACGUGGGGCUGAUAUGCUGAACCCAAAUCUAUCUUGCUUAAAAGAAAUCAUGGAGCGAACGAUUCACGAUUCUAAUGCUUUAUUUCCGUAGAGAAAGGACAAUCAUUGUCUAAGAAGAGAUCAUCAAGACAUACAAGUGUUUAAUAUUGUUUGUACCUAUCCAUUUCCCUCUUCUCUCUGCCACCGAUUACCUAUAGCUUUGUUAGUUGUAAAAUAUUCUUUAAUCUGAACCAUACACGUCCUUAUCAGGAGCAGCCGAACACGUUACGGCACAAUUAAGAUUCUGACUAAUUGAGCAGGUGGGACAACGAGAAGAUAAAGCCAAAAACUCAAGAGUAGGCGCACAUGCAUUUUCCUCGCCUCUGCCCACCGACAUUACCAUAUACCAACUAAGAAGAUUUUGAGCGCCUUUGCUUCUGGUAUACAAGGUAUGAGCGCUUACCUUCCCCUAAGAACUAGUUUCUGAAACAAUGGCGACCAUAGGCGGGUAAGAUCGGAAGGCAUAUUGCAGAGGAGAUUUUGGGGUUUCUGUCACCACUGCAGUCACUGAAGAGAUGGAGAUUACCGUAAAGGGAUCAAGCCUAGUACGCCCUGCUAAAGAAACGCCCAAAGAGAGCCACAAGGUCUCAAAUCUGGACAUGGUGAUGGCACCAUAUUAUGCCACCCAGGUGUACUUCUACAAACCAAAUGGUUCUUCAGAUUUCUUUAAAGGGCAAGUGCUUAAGGAGGCUUUAAGCAAGACUCUUGUGCCAUUUUACCCCAUGGCUGGGAGGUUGGGAAGUGAUGAAAAUGGUAGGUCCGAGAUAAUAUGCAACGCAGAGGGAGUUCUAUGGGUAGAAGCUGAAACUACUUGUGCUGUGGAUGACUUGGGAAAUUUUGCUCCUAGCUUAAAACUCCGGCAACUAGUUCCAACAGUUGAUUACUCGAAAGAUACCUUCUCUCACCCGCUGUUUAUUGGCCCAGGUAAGUAUUCACCAAACAAGAAUGAGAAACUGACACACUGUAAGUAUUUAAUUACUAGAUUUUUUUUCUUUGACAAUUAAGUAUUCAAUUACUAGAUAAAUAAUGUCAGUAAACCGAAAAAAGAUGAUGAUAGCAGUAGGAUAAUAUGAACUACUCUGAGGAAAGAAAAAAACAGAGAAAAGAGGGGGAGGGAAGUUGCUGUGAAGAAGAACAAGUUACUUCAUUCAUCAGUAAAUACAUAGUAAGUCAACAUGUCAAAGUCAAUGCAUGCUUUAACUCUAACAAAUAAGAGUUACAAGGAGAUCAUGGACAAGCCUUCAUUUAGUAUAUUUGUUUUAUGUUUAUGUCUGGUUUAGUUUUAUUUUAGUUUGCAGAACUCAUAGAAUCACCUCAUGAUUAAAAUCUUGCUUCAAGAUGUACUCCGAUUGAACAAUUCAUUACUACUAAUCCUUAAAGUUCAAACGUAGGAUAGGCAAAAAAAAUUACAGAAUAAGAUACAUUAAGGAUAGGCAAUGGAAACUGGAAAGCUUGAUUGUAUGUUUUUGCUAGGUAACUGUUUUCAAAUGCGGUGGAGUCUCUCUUGGAAUACGAAUUCACCACAAUUUUGUAGAUGGCACAACUUCCCUUCACCUCAUCAACAGUUGGUCCGAGAUAGCAAGAGGCUUGCCCCUAAUCAGCAGGGCGCCACUUAUUGACAGAACCCUUCUCCGAGCACGAGUGCCACCAACCCCUAAAUUUCAUCAUACUGAAUAUGAUCCACCUCCUCCCUUAAACACCUCAAUGUCAAUCUUCAAAUCUCACGCUAAUCCUAAACCCUUAUCUGUAUCUGUUUUUAAGAUCACACUCAAUCAACUUAAUACCCUAAAAGCCAUGUCAUUCAAGAAUGAAAAUUCAACUAAGUACAGCACCUACACUAUACUAGCUGCAUAUAUAUGGCGUUGUGCCUGUAAAGCUCGAGGCCUCUUGGAUGAUCAACCAACCAAGUUAUACAUGCCAACAAAUGGACGCCCCAGACUACAUCCUCCCCACCCAUCAGCCUACCUGGGCAAUGUGAUAUUUACGGCUUCAUCUAUUGCUCUGUCUGGAAAUCUCUAAUCAGAACCAUUUAUGAACACCAUAGAGCGAAUUCAUGGAGCAUUGAAAAGGAUGGACAAUGAAUAUCUAAGAUCAGCUCUUGACUACCUAGAAAAAGUGCCAGAUAUAACUGCUGCCUGGAGAGAAGUACACACUUUCCAGUGCCCAAAUCUAAGGAUCAACGAUUGGAUGCGAUUCCCUCUACAUGAUGCAAAUUUUGGGUGGGGUCGACCGAUAUACAUGGGCCCGGCAUAUGUCGUCCAUUAAGGAAAAAUAUAUAUACUGCCAAGUCCAACUGAUGAUGGGAGCCUGUCAUUGGUAGCAUGCCUAGAAACCUCUCACAUGAAACCUUUUCAGAAACAUCUUUACGAAGGCUUAAUGUCAUUUGACAAAAUAAAAGCUCGAUAUUAGUUGUUUGUUCUCUCUAUCAGUAUGCAACAUAUAAAGAUGUUUCUUCUUUUUUUUCAUGAACUAACUCUUUUUGUUUGAAUCGUAUUUAUUUGUAUUUGGUGUAUAGAGCAUAGCUAUUAUAAGAACCGACUCUAGCUAUGUCAACAAAUAAGAAGAGUAGAAGAUUAAAACUAAACCUACAAUGAAGAUAGAGAUUAUAUUCAGGAUGAUCAUUGAGAAAGAGGCGAGUAGCUAACCUUAAUACAAAACUUAUAUCUUAACUGUGAAAUCAAAUUGUUGGAACAAGAAGAAGAACGAAUAUGAGUCUUGCAUCCUUGCUCUAAUCAUUUCGUAUCUACUUGAGCCUA
RNAcentral lists this long non-coding RNA (5146 nucleotides) under Theobroma cacao (cacao). RNAcentral describes it as "long non-coding RNA (TCAC_LNC005066)". Lineage: Eukaryota; Viridiplantae; Streptophyta; Magnoliopsida; Malvales; Malvaceae. The record is from RNAcentral.